This 253-nucleotide ribosomal RNA is filed under the name uncultured bacterium. RNAcentral's name for it is "partial 16S ribosomal RNA". It matches the Rfam family "Bacterial small subunit ribosomal RNA", at positions 524 to 776 of the family's 1533-position model. The record is from RNAcentral.
UACGUAGGGUGCGAGCGUUGUCCGGAAUUAUUGGGCGUAAAGAGCUCGUAGGCGGUUUGUUGCGUCUAUCGUGAAAACCUGCAGCUUAACUGUGGGCUUGCGGUGGAUACGGGCAGGCUAGAGUCCGGCAGGGGAGACUGGAAUUCCUGGUGUAGCGGUGAAAUGCGCAGAUAUCAGGAGGAACACCGGUGGCGAAGGCGGGUCUCUGGGCCGGAACUGACGCUAAGGAGCGAAAGCGUGGGGAGCGAACAGG